Molecule: ribosomal RNA, 2926 nt
Filed under: Enterobacter roggenkampii
Lineage: Bacteria; Pseudomonadati; Pseudomonadota; Gammaproteobacteria; Enterobacterales; Enterobacteriaceae
Description: bacterial LSU rRNA
Rfam family: Bacterial large subunit ribosomal RNA
Source: RNAcentral
GGGUUGUGAGGUUAAGCGACUAAGCGUACACGGUGGAUGCCCUGGCAGUCAGAGGCGAUGAAGGACGUGCUAAUCUGCGAAAAGCGCCGGCGAGGUGAUAUGAACCUUUGACCCGGCGAUGUCCGAAUGGGGAAACCCAGUGUGAUUCGUCACACUAUCGUUAACUGAAUACAUAGGUUAACGAGGCGAACCGGGGGAACUGAAACAUCUAAGUACCCCGAGGAAAAGAAAUCAACCGAGAUUCCCCCAGUAGCGGCGAGCGAACGGGGAGCAGCCCAGAGUCUGAAUCAGCUUGUGUGUUAGUGGAAGCGUCUGGAAAGUCGCACGGUACAGGGUGACAGUCCCGUACACGAAAGCACACAGGUUGUGAACUCGAAGAGUAGGGCGGGACACGUGGUAUCCUGUCUGAAUAUGGGGGGACCAUCCUCCAAGGCUAAAUACUCCUGACUGACCGAUAGUGAACCAGUACCGUGAGGGAAAGGCGAAAAGAACCCCGGCGAGGGGAGUGAAAAAGAACCUGAAACCGUGUACGUACAAGCAGUGGGAGCACCUUCGGGUGUGACUGCGUACCUUUUGUAUAAUGGGUCAGCGACUUAUAUUCUGUAGCAAGGUUAACCGUAUAGGGGAGCCGAAGGGAAACCGAGUCUUAACUGGGCGUUAAGUUGCAGGGUAUAGACCCGAAACCCGGUGAUCUAGCCAUGGGCAGGUUGAAGGUUGGGUAACACUAACUGGAGGACCGAACCGACUAAUGUUGAAAAAUUAGCGGAUGACUUGUGGCUGGGGGUGAAAGGCCAAUCAAACCGGGAGAUAGCUGGUUCUCCCCGAAAGCUAUUUAGGUAGCGCCUCGUGAACUCAUCUUCGGGGGUAGAGCACUGUUUCGGCUAGGGGGCCAUCCCGGCUUACCAACCCGAUGCAAACUACGAAUACCGAAGAAUGUUAUCACGGGAGACACACGGCGGGUGCUAACGUCCGUCGUGAAGAGGGAAACAACCCAGACCGCCAGCUAAGGUCCCAAAGUCAUGGUUAAGUGGGAAACGAUGUGGGAAGGCACAGACAGCCAGGAUGUUGGCUUAGAAGCAGCCAUCAUUUAAAGAAAGCGUAAUAGCUCACUGGUCGAGUCGGCCUGCGCGGAAGAUGUAACGGGGCUAAACCAUGCACCGAAGCUGCGGCAGCGACGCUUAUGCGUUGUUGGGUAGGGGAGCGUUCUGUAAGCCGUUGAAGGUGUGCUGUGAGGCAUGCUGGAGGUAUCAGAAGUGCGAAUGCUGACAUAAGUAACGAUAAAGCGGGUGAAAAGCCCGCUCGCCGGAAGACCAAGGGUUCCUGUCCAACGUUAAUCGGGGCAGGGUGAGUCGACCCCUAAGGCGAGGCCGAAAGGCGUAGUCGAUGGGAAACAGGUUAAUAUUCCUGUACUUGGUGUUACUGCGAAGGGGGGACGGAGAAGGCUAUGUUAGCCGGGCGACGGUUGUCCCGGUUUAAGCAUGUAGGCGGAACGAUUAGGUAAAUCCGGUCGUUUUUUAACGCUGAGGUGUGAUGACGAGGCACUACGGUGCUGAAGUAACAAAUGCCCUGCUUCCAGGAAAAGCCUCUAAGCAUCAGGUAACAUCAAAUCGUACCCCAAACCGACACAGGUGGUCAGGUAGAGAAUACCAAGGCGCUUGAGAGAACUCGGGUGAAGGAACUAGGCAAAAUGGUGCCGUAACUUCGGGAGAAGGCACGCUGAUAUGUAGGUGAAGCCCCUGCGGGUGGAGCUGAAAUCAGUCGAAGAUACCAGCUGGCUGCAACUGUUUAUUAAAAACACAGCACUGUGCAAACACGAAAGUGGACGUAUACGGUGUGACGCCUGCCCGGUGCCGGAAGGUUAAUUGAUGGGGUUAGCGGUAACGCGAAGCUCUUGAUCGAAGCCCCGGUAAACGGCGGCCGUAACUAUAACGGUCCUAAGGUAGCGAAAUUCCUUGUCGGGUAAGUUCCGACCUGCACGAAUGGCGUAAUGAUGGCCAGGCUGUCUCCACCCGAGACUCAGUGAAAUUGAACUCGCUGUGAAGAUGCAGUGUACCCGCGGCAAGACGGAAAGACCCCGUGAACCUUUACUAUAGCUUGACACUGAACACUGGUCCUUGAUGUGUAGGAUAGGUGGGAGGCUUUGAAGUGUGGACGCCAGUCUGCAUGGAGCCGUCCUUGAAAUACCACCCUUUAAUGGCUGGUGUUCUAACGUAGACCCGUAAUCCGGGUUGCGGACAGUGUCUGGUGGGUAGUUUGACUGGGGCGGUCUCCUCCCAAAGAGUAACGGAGGAGCACGAAGGUUAGCUAAUCCUGGUCGGACAUCAGGAGGUUAGUGCAAUGGCAUAAGCUAGCUUGACUGCGAGAGUGACGGCUCGAGCAGGUGCGAAAGCAGGUCAUAGUGAUCCGGUGGUUCUGAAUGGAAGGGCCAUCGCUCAACGGAUAAAAGGUACUCCGGGGAUAACAGGCUGAUACCGCCCAAGAGUUCAUAUCGACGGCGGUGUUUGGCACCUCGAUGUCGGCUCAUCACAUCCUGGGGCUGAAGUAGGUCCCAAGGGUAUGGCUGUUCGCCAUUUAAAGUGGUACGCGAGCUGGGUUUAGAACGUCGUGAGACAGUUCGGUCCCUAUCUGCCGUGGGCGCUGGAGAAUUGAGGGGGGCUGCUCCUAGUACGAGAGGACCGGAGUGGACGCAUCACUGGUGUUCGGGUUGUCAUGCCAAUGGCACUGCCCGGUAGCUAAAUGCGGAAAAGAUAAGUGCUGAAAGCAUCUAAGCACGAAACUUGCCCCGAGAUGAGUUCUCCCUGAGACUUUAAGUCUCCUGAAGGAACGUUAAAGACGAUGACGUUGAUAGGUCGGGUGUGUAAGCGCAGCGAUGCGUUGAGCUAACCGAUACUAAUGAACCGUGAGGCUUAACCUUACAACGCCGAAG